CACACACAGCUGUCGCACAUGACACAGCCACAAGAUCUUCACCACCACCUAGCCAUCCCACGACCAUAAGAUCUCACACCACCUCUCCCUGCACCACCAUCAUCAUCAUCUCCGGUCACCCUCACAUCGCUACACCACUAGUCAACGGUCGGCACCUGAGAGCCUCGUCAUCCUUACUGCCUCUCUCCCACUCUACCAGCACAGAUCCGAACCCAGCUCUCCCAUUUCUAGCCCUCUCCGAUUCUCUAUGAGCACGCCGUAACCAUCUGCAAGUACCACCGUAUUAGCUCCGGCCAUAUAAUAGCCGUCAGCGUUCUCUGCCAUACCACCGUCACCAUCGUCACCCUUGCCUGCAGACCAGCCAAAGAACUUGCUCCCAUGAUAGCAGUGGUAGUCCUUCAUACAGCCGCACCGGGGAAACGCCAUAGCCACGCGAACGAAUCUCCCUAUCUCUCCCACUUUCAUUGCUUGAACUAGCGCCAUUGUCUGUCACCAGCAUUGUCGUCUCGCACUAGCUCCGGUGGCCUCCUAUAGUUCUCGAGGGAACUGUACCUAGCUUACCUCGGGGUUGGGAUUUGACUUCUGGGAGUGGUUAUCAUAACUGGUGAGAUACCAGAUGUCUUCUUUUGUUAUUUUGGGAUUGUAAUAUACAGGCAGACUGUGUAUGUGUGUAUUUGGGAACAGAUAGAACUUUGGUAAAGUGGUGGUUAGAUGUUUUAGAAUUCUUCCAUUGUAUGGUUUAAUUUUAGUAAUGGCAGGUGCACCUAGGAUUUCCUGGUUAGGGCAGGUUGCAUCUAUAUAUGCUUCAGUUGGUAUAAGAGAGUUUAUAUGUUUUACACUAGCAUCUCGGACCCACGUGGCGGGUCGAGGCGCUACAGUUGAUGUUUUAAUAUUUAAAGUUUAAAUUUUUGUUGUCUUAA
This is a long non-coding RNA of Malania oleifera, 920 nucleotides long. RefSeq lists it as uncharacterized. NCBI's taxonomy places the organism in Eukaryota, Viridiplantae, Streptophyta, Magnoliopsida, Santalales, Ximeniaceae. The record is from RefSeq and is a predicted model, not a curated record. The transcript is spliced from 2 exons.